RNAcentral lists this unclassified non-coding RNA (253 nucleotides) under Candidatus Kaiserbacteria bacterium. Its description in RNAcentral is "contains 16S-23S intergenic spacer region". It matches the Rfam family "Bacterial small subunit ribosomal RNA", at positions 524 to 776 of the family's 1533-position model. Lineage: Bacteria; Candidatus Kaiseribacteriota. The record is from RNAcentral.
UACGAAGGGGGCUAGCGUUACCCGGAUUUACUGGGCGUAAAGGAUGUGUAGGCGGUUAUGUUAGUCUUUUGUUAAAUCUGUGGGCUCAACCCACAGGCUGCAGAGGAAACGGCAUAACUAGAGGAUGUGAGAGGUGUACGGAACUCAUGGUGUAGGGGUGAAAUCCGUUGAUAUCAUGGGGAACACCAAAUGCGAAGGCAGUACACUGGCGCAUUCCUGACGCUGAGACAUGAAAGCUAGGGUAGCGAACGGG